GACUCGUUAGCUCAAUUGGCAGAGCGCCGGUCUCCAAAACCGGAGGUUGGGGGUUCGAGGCCCUCACGGGUCGCCA
RNAcentral lists this transfer RNA (76 nucleotides) under Chloroflexota bacterium. Its description in RNAcentral is "tRNA-Trp". It matches the Rfam family "tRNA". From Rfam's summary of the family: Transfer RNA (tRNA) molecules are approximately 80 nucleotides in length. Their secondary structure includes four short double-helical elements and three loops (D, anti-codon, and T loops). Further hydrogen bonds mediate the characteristic L-shaped molecular structure. tRNAs have two regions of fundamental functional importance: the anti-codon, which is responsible for specific mRNA codon recognition, and the 3' end, to which the tRNAs corresponding amino acid is attached (by aminoacyl-tRNA synthetases). tRNAs cope with the degeneracy of the genetic code in two manners: having more than one tRNA (with a specific anti-codon) for a particular amino acid; and 'wobble' base-pairing, i.e. permitting non-standard base-pairing at the 3rd anti-codon position. The record is from RNAcentral. RNAcentral also lists the same sequence under 1 other name. Lineage: Bacteria; Bacillati; Chloroflexota.